UCCCUUCUAGAAGCUUCCAGUUAUGGAAACAGCCCAAGACCCAUCAGUAGAUGAGUGGAUAAAAAAAAUGUGGCACAUUUACCCAAUGGAAUAAUUUUACACAAUGGAAAAAUUUUCUGGCAUCGUUUCUCAAAUAUCAUCUGUUCAGCUUCAUUUUUAAGGGCUAGACCCAGUGAUUUGGCUGGCCUGAUAUGGCCCACUUGGCCGGAAGCAGGAGGUGCCACGGGUGUACCUGUUGACGUGCAGCAACCACUGCACCUGAAGUGACUUCGUCGCUCCUGGACUCUGAUGCUUGAGGACUCUUUAUGCUGAUGAAAAUGCAACCAUCCUGGACCUUGAAAGAAGUUGGCUUUGGUUUCCUCUGAAUCCUAAAAGAUACAAUGGGAUAUUAAAAAUGAUUGGAACAGAACCUUCAUUGGAGUGAUUUUUAAUUCAUAUCACAGAUCAAGCAUUCUGGCAGGAGCAACCGAAAAUGUACAGAGAAAUGAGUUUCCCAGCCAGUGUGGAGCAGAGGGCAAGGUG
Molecule: long non-coding RNA, 522 nt
Organism: Myotis myotis
Lineage: Eukaryota; Metazoa; Chordata; Mammalia; Chiroptera; Vespertilionidae
Exons: 3
Source: RefSeq, a predicted model, not a curated record